This 451-nucleotide ribosomal RNA is filed under the name uncultured bacterium. Its description in RNAcentral is "partial 16S ribosomal RNA". It matches the Rfam family "Bacterial small subunit ribosomal RNA", at positions 29 to 523 of the family's 1533-position model. The record is from RNAcentral.
AACGAACGCUGGCGGCAGGCCUAAUACAUGCAAGUCGAACGCUUGUAGCAAUACAAGAGUGGCGCACGGGUGAAUAACACGUGGGAAUAUGCCUUUUGGUACGGGACAACCUCGGGAAACUGAGGCUAAUACCGUAUGGUCCCUUCGGGGUAAAGAUUUAUCGCCAAAAGAUUAGCCCGCGUCUGAUUAGCUAGUUGGUGAGGUAACGUCUCACCAAGGCGACGAUCAGUAGCUGGUCUGAGAGGACGAUCAGCCACACUGGGACUGAGACACGGCCCAGACUCCUACGGGAGGCAGCAGUAGGGAAUAUUGGACAAUGGGCGCAAGCCUGAUCCAGCCAUGCCGCGUGAGUGAUGAAGGCCUUCGGGUUGUAAAACUCUUUAGCCCGCGAAUAAAAUGACUGUAGCGGGAAAAUAAGCCCCGGCUAACUUCGUGCCAGCCGCCGCCGUAA